RNAcentral lists this ribosomal RNA (253 nucleotides) under uncultured bacterium. RNAcentral describes it as "partial 16S ribosomal RNA". It matches the Rfam family "Bacterial small subunit ribosomal RNA", at positions 524 to 776 of the family's 1533-position model. The record is from RNAcentral.
UACGGGGGGGGCAAGCGUUGUUCGGAAUUACUGGGCGUAAAGGGCUUGUAGGUGGCCAACUAAGUCAGACGUGAAAUCCCUCGGCUUAACCGGGGAACUGCGUCUGAUACUGGAUGGCUUGAGUGUGGGAGAGGGAUGCGGAAUUCCAGGUGUAGCGGUGAAAUGCGUAGAUAUCUGGAGGAACACCGGUGGCGAAGGCGGCAUCUUGGACCAUUACUGACACUGAAAAGCGAAAGCCAGGGGAGCAAACGGG